This 769-nucleotide ribosomal RNA is filed under the name Boletus speciosus. Its description in RNAcentral is "eukaryotic LSU rRNA". The stretch from base 257 to 411 matches the Rfam family "5.8S ribosomal RNA". The record is from RNAcentral. Lineage: Eukaryota; Fungi; Basidiomycota; Agaricomycetes; Boletales; Boletaceae.
GGAAGUAAAAGUCGUAACAAGGUUUCCGUAGGUGAACCUGCGGAAGGAUCAUUAUCGAAUUCUGAGAGGGAAAGACACAGAGUGUAGAUUGUCGCUGGCCCUCCCUCGAGGGCAUGUGCACGUUUUCCUUUGUGUUGACCUUUUCUCAUAUACACACACACCUGUGCACCUGCUGUAGGUCCUUGAAAGAGGAUCUAUGUCUUUCAUAUCACACCCAUCGUAUGUCUAUAGAAUGUUGAUAUAAUAUAAAUCAUACAACUUUCAGCAACGGAUCUCUUGGCUCUCGCAUCGAUGAAGAACGCAGCGAAUUGCGAUAAGUAAUGUGAAUUGCAGAUUUUCAGUGAAUCAUCGAAUCUUUGAACGCACCUUGCGCUCCUUGGUAUUCCGAGGAGCAUGCCUGUUUGAGUGUCAUUUGAAUUUCUCAAAAAUUUCAUGUUUUGAUUUUCAUGAACUUUUUGGAGUUGGGAGUUGCUGGCGGUGAGAAGCUGUCGGCUCUCCUGAAAUGCAUUAGCAAAGGAUGUGCAAGUCUUUUACGUGCACGGCCUUCGACGUGAUAAUGAUCGUCGCGGCUGGAGCGUUUGGACAUGCAUGAAUCAUCCAUGCUAUCCAAUCCAUUAGGCUAGCCUUGAGCUUUGAUUGCUUCAGCUACUAGUCGAUCGUGAGGCCGACGAACGUUUGGCAGUCAAGCUUUACUAGUCUUUUCUUUGAAACUUGACCUCAAAUCAGGUAGGACUACCCGCUGAACUUAAGCAUAUCAAUAAGCGGAGGA